UACAGAGGUGGCAAACGUUGUCCGGAUUUAUUGGGCGUAAAGGGCAUGUAGGUGGUUUUGUAAGUCAAAGGUGAAAUGGCCCGGCUCAACCAGGUCAUUGCCUUUGAAACUGCAGGACUUGAGUACGGAAGAGGAAAGCGGAAUUCCCAGUGUAGCGGUGAAAUGCGUAGAUAUAGGGAGGAACACCAGUGGCGAAGGCGGCUAUCUGGUCCGAAACUGACACUGAGGUGCGAAAGCGAGGGGAGCAAACGGG
Molecule: ribosomal RNA, 253 nt
Filed under: uncultured bacterium
Lineage: Bacteria
Description: partial 16S ribosomal RNA
Rfam family: Bacterial small subunit ribosomal RNA
Source: RNAcentral